RNAcentral lists this ribosomal RNA (1276 nucleotides) under metagenome. Its description in RNAcentral is "bacterial SSU rRNA". It matches the Rfam family "Bacterial small subunit ribosomal RNA". The record is from RNAcentral.
AGAGUUUGAUCCUGGCUCAGGAUGAACGCUGGCGGCGUGCUUAACACAUGCAAGUCGAACGGGAACCCCUGGACUCGUCUGGGGGGGAGAGUGGCGAACGGGUGAGUAACACGUUGGUGACCUGCCUCGAAGAUGGGGAUAACUACUGGAAACGGUAGCUAAUACCCAAUGUGCUCGGUGAUUCGGUUCGUCGAGUAAAGUUCCGGCGCUUCGAGAGGGGCCUGCGGCCCAUCAGCUAGUUGGUAAGGUAAUGGCUUACCAAGGCAAAGACGGGUAGGGGACGUGAGAGCGUGAUCCCCCACACUGGCACUGAGAUACGGGCCAGACUCCUACGGGAGGCAGCAGUGAGGAAUAUUGCCCAAUGGGCGAAAGCCUGAGGCAGCAACGCCGCGUGGGUGAUGAAGGCCUUCGGGUCGUAAAACCCUUUUCUGGGGGAAGAGAAAGGACGGUACCCCAGGAAUAAGUCUCGGCUAACUAUGUGCCAGCAGCCGCGGUAAGACAUAGGAGACGAGCGUUAUCCGGAUUUACUGGGCGUAAAGAGCGAAAGCUAGGGGAGCGAACGGGAUUAGAAACCCCGGUAGUCCUAGCCGUAAACGAUGGAUACUAGGUGUAGGGGGUUAGAAACCCCUCUGUGCCGAAGCUAACGCGUUAAGUAUCCCGCCUGGGGACUACGGCCGCAAGGCUAAAACUCAGAGGAAUUGACGGGGGCCCGCACAAGCAGCGGAGCGUGUGGUUUAAUUCGAUUCAACGCGAAGAACCUUACCAGGGCUUGACAUGCAAGUAGUAGUGAAGCGAAAGCGGAACGAUCCUUCGGGAAGCUUGCGCAGGUGCUGCAUGGCUGUCGUCAGCUCGUGCCGUGAGGUGUUAGGUUAAGUCCUGUAACGAGCGCAACCCUCGCCGUUAGUUAUACGUGUCUAGCGGGACUGCCCGGCUCAACUGGGAGGAAGGUGGGGAUGACGUCAAGUCAGCAUGGCCUUUAUGUCCUGGGCUACACACACGCUACAAUGGCCGGUACAAUGGGUUGCCAAGCCGCGAGGCGGAGCCAAUCCUCCAAAGCCGGUCUCAGUUCGGAUUGUAGGCUGCAACUCGCCUGCAUGAAGCUGGAGUUGCUAGUAACCGCAGGUCAGCCACACUGCGGUGAAUACGUUCCCGGGCCUUGUACACACCGCCCGUCACGUCAUGGGAGCUGGUAACACCUGAAGCCGGUGGGAGCCAACCUAACGGAGGCAGCCGUCGAAGGUGGGACUGGUGACUGGGACGAAGUCGUAACAAGGUA